UCGAGCGAAGCACUUUGCUUAGAUUCUUCGGAUGAAGAGGAUUGUGACUGAGCGGCGGACGGGUGAGUAACGCGUGGGUAACCUGCCUCGUACAGGGGGAUAACAGUUAGAAAUGACUGCUAAUACCGCAUAAGACCACAGCACCGCAUGGUGCAGGGGUAAAAACUCCGGUGGUAUGAGAUGGACCUGCGUCUGAUUAGCUAGUUGGUAAGGUAACGGCUUACCAAGGCGACGAUCAGUAGCCGACCUGAGAGGGUGACCGGCCACAUUGGGACUGAGACACGGCCCAAACUCCUACGGGAGGCAGCAGUGGGGAAUAUUGCACAAUGGGGGAAACCCUGAUGCAGCGACGCCGCGUGAGCGAAGAAGUAUUUCGGUAUGUAAAGCUCUAUCAGCAGGGAAGAAAAUGACGGUACCUGACUAAGAAGCACCGGCUAAAUACGUGCCAGCAGCCGCGGUAAUACGUAUGGUGCAAGCGUUAUCCGGAUUUACUGGGUGUAAAGGGAGCGUAGACGGAUGGGCAAGUCUGAUGUGAAAACCCGGGGCUCAACCCCGGGACUGCAUUGGAAACUGUUCAUCUAGAGUGCUGGAGAGGUAAGUGGAAUUCCUAGUGUAGCGGUGAAAUGCGUAGAUAUUAGGAGGAACACCAGUGGCGAAGGCGGCUUACUGGACAGUAACUGACGUUGAGGCUCGAAAGCGUGGGGAGCAAAC
Molecule: ribosomal RNA, 711 nt
Filed under: uncultured Lachnospiraceae bacterium
Lineage: Bacteria; Bacillati; Bacillota; Clostridia; Lachnospirales; Lachnospiraceae
Description: bacterial SSU rRNA
Rfam family: Bacterial small subunit ribosomal RNA
Source: RNAcentral